CGGAGGGGGCGAGCGUUGUCCGAAGUUACUGGGCGUAAAGCGCGCGUAGGCGGGUUGCUAAGUCCGCUGUGAAAGCCCGUGGCUCAACCUCGGAGGGUCGGUGGAUACUGGCAGUCUUGAAGGUGGUAGGGGGAGAUGGAAUUACCGGUGUAGCGGUGAAAUGCGUAGAGAUCGGUAGGAACACCAGUGGCGAAGGCGGUCUCCUGGCCCACUCUUGACGCUGAGGCGCGAAAGCUGGGGGGAGCGAACGGGAUUAGAUACCCCGGUAGUCCCAGCCCUAAACGAUGGAUACUAGGUGUCGGGGGUAUCGACCCCCCCGGUGCCGCCGCUAACGCAGUAAGUAUCCCGCCUGGGGAGUACGGCCGCAAGGUUG
RNAcentral lists this ribosomal RNA (373 nucleotides) under uncultured organism. RNAcentral describes it as "partial 16S ribosomal RNA". It matches the Rfam family "Bacterial small subunit ribosomal RNA", at positions 526 to 896 of the family's 1533-position model. The record is from RNAcentral.